CGUAUCUCUGGAGCGCUUCUGCGUGCGGAGCGCUGUGCCGAGCGCUCGGGAGAUUCCGAC
This 60-nucleotide microRNA precursor is filed under the name Ornithorhynchus anatinus (platypus). RNAcentral describes it as "microRNA oan-mir-7418 precursor". Lineage: Eukaryota; Metazoa; Chordata; Mammalia; Monotremata; Ornithorhynchidae. The record is from miRBase by way of RNAcentral.